AGUGAACGCUGGCGGUAGGCCUAACACAUGCAAGUCGAACGGCAGCACAGUAAGAGCUUGCUCUUACGGGUGGCGAGUGGCGGACGGGUGAGGAAUACAUCGGAAUCUACUUUUUCGUGGGGGAUAACGUAGGGAAACUUACGCUAAUACCGCAUACGACCUACGGGUGAAAGCAGGGGAUCUUCGGACCUUGCGCGAUUGAAUGAGCCGAUGUCGGAUUAGCUAGUUGGCGGGGUAAAGGCCCACCAAGGCGACGAUCCGUAGCUGGUCUGAGAGGAUGAUCAGCCACACUGGAACUGAGACACGGUCCAGACUCCUACGGGAGGCAGCAGUGGGGAAUAUUGGACAAUGGGCGCAAGCCUGAUCCAGCCAUACCGAGUGGGUGACGAAGGCCUUCGGGUUGUAAAGCCCUUUUGUUGGGAAAGAAAAGCAGCAGGUUAAUACCCCGCUGUUCUGACGGUACCCAAAGAAUAAGCACCGGCUAACUUCGUG
RNAcentral lists this ribosomal RNA (492 nucleotides) under uncultured bacterium. RNAcentral describes it as "partial 16S ribosomal RNA". It matches the Rfam family "Bacterial small subunit ribosomal RNA", at positions 29 to 507 of the family's 1533-position model. The record is from RNAcentral.